RNAcentral lists this ribosomal RNA (478 nucleotides) under uncultured bacterium. RNAcentral's name for it is "partial 16S ribosomal RNA". It matches the Rfam family "Bacterial small subunit ribosomal RNA", at positions 28 to 523 of the family's 1533-position model. The record is from RNAcentral.
GACGAACGCUGGCGGCGUGCUUAACACAUGCAAGUCGAACGGUAAGGCCCUUCGGGGUACACGAGUGGCGAACGGGUGAGUAACACGUGGGUGAUCUGCCCUGCACUUCGGGAUAAGCCUGGGAAACUGGGUCUAAUACCGGAUAGGACCACUGCCUGCAUGGGUGGUGGGGGAAAGCUUUUGCGGUGUGGGAUGGGCCCGCGGCCUAUCAGCUUGUUGGUGGGGUGAUGGCGUACCAAGGCGACGACGGGGAGCCGGCCGUGGGGGGGGAACGGCCACACUGGGACUGAGAUACGGCCCAGACUCCUACGGGAGGCAGCAGUGGGGAAUAUUGCACAAUGGGCGCAAGCCUGAUGCAGCGACGCCGCGUGAGGGAUGACGGCCUUCGGGUUGUAAACCUCUUUCAGCACCGACGAAGCGCAAGUGACGGUAGGUGCAGAAGAAGGACCGGCCAACUACGUGCCAGCCGCCGCGGUAA